UAGGGAAUCUUCGGCAAUGGACGGAAGUCUGACCGAGCAACGCCGCGUGAGUGAAGAAGGUUUUCGGAUCGUAAAGCUCUGUUGUAAGAGGAGAACGAGUGUGAGAGUGGAAAGUUCACACUGUGACGGUAUCUUACCAGAAAGGGACGGCUAACUACGUGUCAGCAGCCGCGGUAAUACGUAGGUCCCGAGCGUUGUCCGGAUUUAUUGGGCGUAAAGCGAGCGCAGGCGGUUAGAUAAGUCUGAAGUUAAAGGCUGUGGCUUAACCGUAGUACGCUUUGGAAACUGUUUAACUUGAGUGCAAGAGGGGAGAGUGGAAUUCCAUGUGUAGCGGUGAAAUGCGUAGAUAUAUGGAGGAACACCGGUGGCGAAAGCGGCUCUCUGGCUUGUAACUGACGCUGAGGCUCGAAAGCGUGGGGAGCAAACAGGAUUAGAUACCCUGGUAGUCCACGCCGUAAACGAUGAGUGCUAGGUGUUAGACCCUUUCCGGGGUUUAGUGCCGUAGCUAACGCAUUAAGCACUCCGCCUGGGGAGUACGACCGCAAGGUUG
This 550-nucleotide ribosomal RNA is filed under the name uncultured bacterium. RNAcentral describes it as "bacterial SSU rRNA". It matches the Rfam family "Bacterial small subunit ribosomal RNA", at positions 355 to 896 of the family's 1533-position model. The record is from RNAcentral.